This 21096-nucleotide long non-coding RNA is filed under the name Triticum aestivum (bread wheat). RNAcentral's name for it is "long non-coding RNA (TAES_LNC013244)". The record is from RNAcentral. Lineage: Eukaryota; Viridiplantae; Streptophyta; Magnoliopsida; Poales; Poaceae.
CACAAGCGGAUUAGGCGAAUCCAACCCUGGUGGGUGGAUUGACGAAGAAAUAUCUCCCUCGUAGCCCCUCUCUCUCCCUCGUCUCUUCUCACCCCCCCUCCUCCCCUCCGUGCCGCUGCCUCGGAUUCCCCCCUCCCUCUCGGCCGCAAGCGCCGGCGCCGACAUGGUAUGGAAGCGGCUGCCACGUAUUCUCACCCCACGUUCCCGAUCUGGAGAGGGAGGGAAAUACACGGCCACAUGUGCGUGCGCCGUCGGGAUGUUUCUUGAGGGUAGCAUCAACCCUUGUAGGCACUGCUAGCAGCAGCAGCAGGCCUCAGUGCCGACGAAGGGAUGGCACAUGGCGCCGUCGUCGUCGAUCUAGGUAGAAGGGCAAGCCAAGAUGAACCUCUCGCAUUAUCUAGGAAGUUGUCAUGGAAGACGCCGAAGAAAAGUCCAUGUAAGCUCCUCUGGUUUUCUUCCAUAAUUUUUCUUCCCUGCACAACAGUUAAUUUCCGUCUCUUCUGGACCACGUCUAAUUUUGGGAAAAAGAUGCAGGAAUUUUGAUAGAGAUGGAGAACUGGACGUGCUUUGUUUCCUUGCCUUGACCGCAUCUAAUUUUGGGGAAAAGAGAGAGGAAUUUGAGAUAGGUGGACAACCUGAAGAUCUUUGAACGUUCAGGAGCAGCCAUAUCCUCAGUGCUAUGCCAGCCUCCUCGCCACUACUGUCAUGUGGAUGUGACUAUUGUUUGGCUGCUGGUGAGAUGGGCAUAGUUUCCUCCGGGUUCAUGCAUCGUGAUGGUAUUCGAACAACACCUUAAUUGGCCCAAGAAAAUUUAGGACUGUCGGAUGAUAAACCAAAUUUUUUGUUUCAUGUACUAUCAUCUCACGUUCUAAUUUUGGUGUUCUGGUAGGAAGGGAUCGGCUUUGGCGGUGUCCGGUGCUGGCAUGUCAUGUGAUUAGAGCAUAGGAAGCUAACAUGAUGUUUGGAACUCGGUGGUCAUGCUCAUUGACUAGAUGCUGCGCCUCAUGUCACCCCGGGCGUCGAAUUGCUUGAUAGCAGAGCUCACGGAGUAAAAAUAUGUCUGCAAGUACUUGUUUGCCAUAUGCCUGCCCACUCCUCCGUCUCAUCAAGCUUUCUUUUAUUUCUCUAAAUUUGUUGUGUGCAUGUAUGUGAAAAAAUAACAGGAAUAGGCCAUGCUAAGGCUUUGGCAAAGAACAUUCUUUCCCUUGCUUAUGAAAAUUUUGGUCCUUUAAUAUUGAUUCCAUAAUUUGUGAUUAAUAAAUGUUGUUGGUAUUUGAUCUCUUUGUUGCUCAUGUCCUACUUGAUUUUGCAUGGGUACAGGCAAAAUACUAUUGGAGUGACAUAUUGGUAGAACCGAGGGUCCUACCGGUCCCGCUCCUCAGGUUGUAGGGGAAGGCAGGGGCUUGACAGAGAAGAGGGCGCGGCGGCCGGCGCGCGGGAGCCGUCGCGAUUGGGAAGGAGGGAGGCAGUGAGAGAGAGAGAGGUGCGGCUAGGGUUUAGGGCCCGGCUCCUCUGGGAGCCGGGCAAUAGAAUUAUUAUUAUUGCUUGAUCUCAAAAUAGUUUUACAGCUAGUAUAUAUAACCACGAUGCUAAAAAUAAGAUAACUUGUGGGCCAAGCCCCUAACUAAACCUGCCCGGUGGGCCUCCUACGGGCAUAAGUCUGCCCGGUUAAAACAUCUCUCCCCGCCUGCGCAAACAUCCCGUCCUCGAGCUGAAAGUCUGGGUAGUGUUGGCGGAACUCGUCACGCUGCUCCCAAGUAGCUUCCUCCUUCGGAAGUCCAGCCCACUGAAUCAGCACGUACCACACCCCGCGACGUAGCUGGGCCUGCAACAGCUUCUCCGGUCCCGGAAGGAGGCGCCCGUCGGAGGUCGGAGGGAGCGCGGGAGGGGCUGCAGGUGGCUCCCCACGGAAAGGCUUCAGCAACCCCACAUGGAAGACGUCGUGGAUAUGAGCACCGGCAGGAAGCUGAAGGCGGUAAGCCACCUUCCCGAUGCGCUCCAAGACAACAAAGGGCCCGGCGUAACGAGGGCCUAGCUUGCGCUUCGCGCGCGGGCCGAGUGACUGCGUAGAGCGGUGAAGAAGACGCGGCCACACCCAAUCACCCACCGCGAACUCCGCCUCGCGAUGGUGGUCGUCGUAGUAGUUCUUGGCCAGCUGCUGGGCCUGAAGGAGGCGUUGCCGGACCUCUGCCAGCAUCUCGUCACGGCGCCGCAUAAGAUCACCGGCCACCUCCGUCUGAGUCGUCGCCGGAUCAACCGGCAGCAUGGGCGGUGGUGGCCUGCCGUAGACCACCUCAAAGGGAGUGGCGCGCAGGGCGGAGUGAUAGGAGGUGUUGUAGCAGUACUCCGCCCACGAGAGCCAGUCCACCCAAGCGCGAGGACGAUCACUUGUGACACAACGCAAAUACAUGGCAAUCACCUUGUUGACAACCUCGGAUUGGCUGUCCGUCUGAGGAUGGAAGGCCGUGCUCAGGCGGAGCUUCACACCCGCCAACCUGAAGAGAUCGCGCCAGACAUGGCCGGUGAACACCGGGUCCCGAUCGCUGACGAUCGAAGAGGGAAACCCGUGGAGGCAAACGAUACCAUCAAAGAAGGCACGGGCCACAGGCAGCAGUGUAGGGAUGACCGAGCGCGAUGAAGUGAGCAUACUUGGAGAAGCGGUCGACCACCGUGAGAAUGACCGAUUUGCCGCCCACCUUGGGGAGGCCCUCGAUGAAGUCCAUGGAGAUAUCCGCCCAGACCUGAGACGUCACCUCCAAGGGCUGGAGCAGACCAGCCGCCCGUAGUGUCUCCGUCUUGUUGCGCUGGCACGUCACACAAGACCGUACCCAGUCACGGACCAGGGCCCGAUCACCGGGAAUGUAGAAGUCGGCGCGGAGACGAUGGAGGGUUUUCUGCACACCCUCAUGGCCCGUCGAGUGGGCCAGCAGCGGCACCUGGUGACGGAGAUCGUCGUGCAUCGGCACGAAGACUCGGCGCCCAUGAAGGAGCAGCCCGUCGGCGAGGCGCCACGGCUCCUCCAACUCCCCCGCAGCCAGCUACUACCGAAGGAGAAGCGCAUCUGGCGCGGCCGAUGUCGCCCGGCGGAUGUCGGUGAAGAGGGCGAAGGUGGGUCCGAAGCGGAUGCAGAGUGCCGCCCCCUCGGAGUCACCAACAGCGGUGUCGUGGUCGGCGUCGCGGCGAGACAAGGCAUCGGCCACGGUGUCAAGGCGGCCGGGGCGAUACUCGACGGAGAAGUCGAAGCCGAAGAGCUUACUGAUCCACUGGUGCUGCGGCACGGUCGAGAGCCUCUGGUCCACCAAGAACUUGAGGCUAUAGUGGUCCGUGCGAAUCCGGAAAGACCGGCCCCACAGAUAGGGCCGCCAAUGGCGCAUCGCCUGCACCAAGCCAAUGAGCUCCCGCUCAUAAGCCGCGAGCUUUAGAUGGCGCGCGGAGAAGGGCCUGCUGAAGAAGGCGAGAGGGCCAUUGCCCUGAUGAAGGACGGCGCCGAACCCCGCACCGGAGGCGUCGCAGUCCACCACAAAUGGGCGGUCAAAAUCCGGCAUCUGAAGAACGGGGCCCGUCAUGAGGGCCUCGAAUGCCACCGUCGCCUUGUCGUCCCUGGCGAAGGCGUCGUGGCGCAGCAAGCGCGUGAGUGGAGACGCGAUGAGGCCGAACUCCCGGAUAAAUUUCCGGUAGUACUCCGCGAGGCCCGGGAAGCCGUGAAGAGCCCGCGGUGAGUGUGGUGUCGGCCAGGCCGCGACGGCCGCCACCUUGUUGGCAUCCAUAGCAACCCCCUCGGCCGAGAUGACGUGGCCGAGGUAGGCGACUGAAGGCGUCCCGAACGAGCACUUCGAGCGCUUAAGAUGAAGCUGAUGCGCCCGAAGCUCGUUGAAGACGAUGGCGACGUGCUGGAGGUGCUCCGCCCAUGAGGCGCUGUAGAUAAGAAUGUCAUCAAAGAAAACGAGCACAAACCGACGCAAGUAGGACCGGAGGACAUCAUUCAUCAGAGCCUGGAAGGUCGUCGGGGCGUUGGAGAGGCCAAACGGCAUCACCAAGAACUCGAAGUGCGUGAUGAGUCCGAAACACCGUCUUGGCGAUAUCAUCUGGGUUCAUGCGCACCUGGUGGUAACCCGACCGGAGAUCGAGCUUGGUGAAGAAGCGCGCCCCAUGUAGCUCAUCCAGGAGCUCAUCGACCACCGGGAUAGGAAACUUGUCCUUAAGUGUUAUGGCAUUAAGGGCGCGGUAGUUGAUGCAGAAACGCCACGUGUCGUCUGACUUGUGGACGAGGAGGACUGACGCGGUGAAUGGUGAUGUGGAGAUCCGGAUGAUGCCCGCGGCGAGCAUGAGCGCGCACUGCCGUUCCAACUCGUCCUUCUGAAGCUGCAGAUAGCGGUGCCACUGGUGCUGAGCCUGGCAGGAGAUGAAUGCGGUGAUCAUACACCCGGGCUGGCGGAAGGCCCCGCGGAUCGAUGAAGAGGUCACCGUGCUGCUGCAGGAGGUGAUCCAACAGUGGGUGCUCAGCCUCGAAGGUGGCCGCCGCCAGCUGAAGCUGUGGCGUCACCGGGGAGGCGCCCCCAACGCCCUCCCACCGGAUGCGUCGGCCGAGUCGCCAGAAAGUCAUCGUCAGGGCGUCGAAGUCCCAGAGGAUGGGACCGAGGGUCCGCAGGAAGUCGACUCCAAGGAUGAAGUUGAAACAGCCCAAGUCGAUGCCCGCACACAUGAUGGAGAAGUGCUCGUCGCCGAUGGUGAUGGGCACGUCCCGCGCGAGCCCAUGACACCAGAGACGAUCGCCGUUGGCCACCGUGACCCGAAGUUGCUCCCCGCCCGUCGGCUGAAGCGCUAAGCGGCGUAUUGUAGCCUCGGGCAGGAAGUUAUGUGUGGAGCCUGUAUCCACGAGGGCCACUAGGCGCUUGCCGUGUAUCAUUACCGGCAAGAGCAUGGUCCGCUCGUCGUGGAUGCCGGCGAGUGCAUGGAGAGAGACCACUAGGGCCGUCGCCUGGGCAGCCGCGGUGGCAGCCUCAGCAGCCGCCGGGGGCGGCAGCGUGUCGAGCCCGUCUGCCGGGGCGUCCUCCUCGACGUAGUAGGCCGUCUAGAAGAGGGGUGGGCAGACAUGGCUCGGCGUGUAGGGCUCAUCACAGUUAUAGGAAAGCCCCUGGCGCCAACGCUCGAUAUGCUCCGCCUGAGAGAGAUGUCGGAAGGGCCGCGUCGCGGCCGGGGUGGUCGUCACUGGAGCGGCCGGGGGUGGCCGACCCGACGCAGGGGGCUGCCUGGCGGCCUAUCGGCCUCCUCGAGCCGGGGCUGCCUGCUGCAUGGCCUGGGCGCGACACUCGAAGGCGCGGGCGUAAUACAUGGCCGUCUGGAGAUCCUGGGGUCCCCGAAGCUCCACGUCCACGCGGAUGUGAUUCGGCAGUCCACCGACGAAGAGGUCGGCGCGCUGUUGUGCCGUCACGCCCGACGCGUGGCACGCCAGGGCCUGGAAACGGUCGGCGAAGUCCUGCACUGUGGAGGUGAAGGGCAUGCGGCCUAGCUCUGCCAGGCGGCUCCCGCGAGUCGGAGGCCCAAAAUGAAGGAGGCAGAACUCGCGGAAGCGCUCCCAAGGGGGCAUGCCGCCCUCGUCCUGCUCGAGGGCGUAGUACCAGGUCUGCGCCACGCCGCGAAGGUGGUAAGAGGCGAGCCAGGUACGCUCCGAUGCGAGGGUGCACUGCCCGCGAAAGAACAGGUCGCACUGGUUGAGCCAGUUGAGGGGGUCCUUCGUGCCGUCAUAAGUGGCGGAGUCGAUUUUGGCGAACCGCGGCGGUGUCUGGGUCGGGGCGCCGCGUCCGAUGGGCUCGGUGGUGCGGAGCAGCGAGGUUGGCGGCGCCUGGUCGCAGUACCCCGGGCAGGGGGCCGCGGAGCCGGAUGGUCCGCCGAACUGCAGGGACGGAGUCGGCUGUUCCGGAGUCAUGGUGUAGACCGGUGAUGGCGAAGACCCGGCCGCCCAAGCCGGUAGUGUCAACGGGGAGGGUGGAAACCGGACCUGGUGUAUCAGCAGUCCGGCCGAUGCAGGCGACAGCAGGUCGGAGCUGGGCAGAGGUGGCGCCUGGAGCUGCAACGGUGAUACGUCUCCAACGUAUCUAUAAUUUUUUAUUGUUCCAUGCAAUAUUAUAUUCUGUUUUGGACAUUAAUGGGCUUUAUUAUACACUUUUAUAUUAUUUUUGGGACUAACCUAUUAACCGGAGGCCCAGCCCAGAUUUGUUGUUUUUUGCCUAUUUCAGAGUUUCGCAGAAAAAGAAUAUCAAACGGAGUCCAAACGGAAUGAAACCUUCGGGAACGUGAUUUUCGGAACGAACGUGAUCCAGAGGACUUGGACCCUACGUCAAGACAUCAACCAGGAAGGCACGAGGUAGGGGGCGCCCUCCACCCUCGUGGGCCCCAUGUUGCUCCACCGACGUACUUCUUCCUCCUAUAUAUACCUACGUACUCCAAACUACCAGAUACGGAGCCAAAAACCUAAUUCCACCGCCGCAACCUUCUGUACCCGUGAGAUCCCAUCUUGGGGCCUUUUUUCGGAGCUCCGCCGGAGGGGGCAUCGAUCACGGAGGGCUUCUACAUCAACACCAUAGCCUCUCCGAUGAUGUGUGAGUAGUUUACCUUAGACCUUCGGGUCCAUAGUUAUUAGCUAGAUGGCUUCUUCUCUCUCUUUGGAUCUCAAUACAAAGUUCUCCACGAUUCUCGUGGAGAUCUAUUCGAUGUAAUCUUCUUUUGCGAUGUGUUUGUUGAGACCGAUGAAUUAUGGGUUUAUGAUCAAGUUUAUCUAUGAACAAUAUUUGAAUCUUCUCUGAAUUCUUUUAUGUAUGAUUGGUUAUCUUUGCAAGUCUCUUCGAAUUAUCAGUUUGGUUUGGCCUACUAGAUUGAUCUUUCUUGCAAUGGGAGAAGUGCUUAGCUUUGGGUUCAAUCUGCGGUGUCCUUUCCCAGUGAUAGUAGGGGCAGCAAGGCACGUAUUGUAUUGUUGCCAUCGAGGAUAACAAGAUGGGGUUUAUAUCAUAUUGCAUGAGUUUAUCCCUCUACAUCAUGUCAUCUUACUUAAAGCGUUACUCUGUUCUUAUGAACUUAAUACUCUAGUUGCAUGUUGGAUAGCGGUCGAUGUGUGGAGUAAUAGUAGUAGAUGCAGGCAGGAGUCGGUCUACUUGUCUUGGACGCGAUGCCUAUAUACAUGAUCAUACCUAGAUAUUCUCAUAACCAUGCUCAAUUCUGUCAAUUGAUCAACAGUAAUUCGUUCACCCACCGUAAUACUUAUGCUCUCGAGAGAAGCCACUAGUGAAACCUAUGCCCCCCGGGUCUAUCUUCUAUCAUAUUAAUCUUCCAACACUUAGCUAUUUUUAUUGUCUUUUAUUUUACUUUGCAUCUUUAUCAUAAAAAUACCAAAAAUAUUAUCUUAUCAUAUCUAUCAGAUCUCACUCUCGUAAGUGACCAUGGAGGGAUUGACAACCCCUUUAUUGCGUUGGUUGCGAGGAUUUAUUUGUUUGUGUAGGUGCGAGGGACUCGUGCGUGGCCUCCAACUGGAUUGACACCUUGGUUCUCAAAAACUGAGGGAAAUACUUACGCUGCUUUACUGCAUCACCCUUUCCUCUUCAAGGGAAAACCAACGCAGUGCUCAAGAGGUAGCAAGAAGGAUUUCUGGCGCCGUUGCCGGGGAGUCUACGCAAAAGUCAACAUACCAAGUACCCAUCACAAGCCCUUAUCUCCCGCAUUACAUUAUUUGCCAUUUGCCUCUCGUUUUCCUCUCCCCCACUUCACCCUUGUCGUUUUAUUCGCCUUCUUUUUCGUUUGCUUUUUUUCGCCGGAUCUAUUGUCUGCUUGUGUUACCAUGUGCCUUCUAUUUGCUUGCAUCUUUGCUUGCUAAAAAUCUAUUGUUAUGGAUCCACUUAAAGUAUUCUACUUGGAUCAUCUUCGAUCCUUAUGCGCUCGUGCUGAGACCCCAACUAGCCUAGAAAUCUUUAGAUGAGCAUGCUCAUUUUGUGUGUCACCGUUUGUCUGAAAAAGGGAAACUCUUAUGGAAUCACAUAAAUAGAUUGUUGUGUUAUGCUUGGAAUCUUUGUGAAAUUCAUGAUUUUACUUGUUGCUCUAAGAACCCUAAAAAACACCUUCCCUACCUAUGUGAGUUUAAUGAAAUCUUAUCUUCUUAUGCAAAGGGUGUUUAUAGUUACUAUGAUAUCGAACAAACUGAAGAAUUUGUUGCUUUUAAGGGUGCUUAUGAAGUUGCUUCUUUGAUUAAAAAGUAUGAUAUUACUCUCUACGAAUCUGAAAAUUUUGACAUACUUAAAUAUUGCUAUGAAAACUAUGCUCAUAAUGUCUAUGUCAAAGAAUUUAUUGAGAGAAUGACUGUUGCUUUGGAAGAAAAUAAUGAUAUGCAUGAAUCUAUAGAUAAUGAUGAUUCCGAUGAUUUUAUUGAAAUAUCCCGUGAUGAACAUGAUGCUUGCUAUUCUUGUGGCCAUGAUGCCAAUAUUUAUGAAGAUGAAUUUGCUAUAGUUCCUUAUGUUAAACAUGAGAUCGUUGCUAUUGCACCCAUACUUGGUAGUUCCUUCGAUAAAAAGGCAUGAUUGCAAUGAUGUUACUAUUAUUCUCUUGAUGUCAAUUUUGCUAAUAAUAUGCAAAACCCUAAGCUUGGAGAUGCUAGUUUUGCUAUGACUACUAUUUGUUGCAAUGAUCAUGAUUGGGGUGAUUCUUCUUUUGAUCUUGAAAAUUUAUUUAAGCCCCUUGAUGAAUAUGAGAUUGAUCAUAGUGUUUGCAAUAUUAUUGAAAGUGGGUUUGGAAGAGUGUCAACUUUAGAUCCCACAUAUUUGGAGAAUGUUCAAUCUUAUGAAGUUUUUGAUAAAAGUGGGUUUGGAGAGGUCAUGACUUUAGUUAAUGUUAAUCCCACUAUUUUGGAAGAGUGUCAACUUCGCAUGCAUGUGGAUCGUGUUGAGAAUAUGUUAUGUGAUAGCUAUAUUGUUGAAUUUACUUAUGAUCCUACAUGUAAUUAUUAUGAGAGAGGAAAAUAUGGUUGUAGAAAUUUUCAUGUUACUAAAUUACCUCUCUUCAUGUUGAGAUUGCUAUCGUCUCUUUCUUUUUCCUUGCAUAUGCUAGUAUUUGCCUGUCUUCAUAAUUUGUUUGCCUAUAAGAUGCCUAUGAUAGGAAGUAUGUUAGACUUAGAUGUGUUUUUCACAUGUUAUAUAUGAUGCUCUCUUUGUGCUUCAAUUCCUGUCUUUCAUGUGAGCAUCAUCGAAAUUAUCAAUGCCUAGCUAGGGGCGUUAAACGAUAGCGCUUGUUGGGAGGCAACCAAUUUUAUUUUUAGUUUUUUGCCUUUUGCUUCUGUUUAGGAAUAAAUAUUUGAUCUAGCCUCUGGUUAGAUGUGUUUUUAUGUUUUAAUUAAUGUUUGUACCAAGUUUAACCUAUAGGAUCUUCUUGGAUGAUAGUUAUUUGAUCUUGCUGAAAAUUCCAGAAACUUUCUGUUCACAAAAAUAAUUGUUAAAAAUCACCAGAAUAUGAUAAAAUAUUGAUUCCAAUUGCUGCUGAUCAAUAAACAAAUUAUCUAGGUCGUCCUAUUUUGGCUGAAUUUUUGGAGUUCCAGAAGUUUGCGUUAGUUACAGAUUACUACAGACUGUUCUGUUUUUGAGAGAUUCUGUUUUUCGUGUGUUGUUUGCUUAUUUUGAUGAAUCUAUGGCUAGUAAAAUAGUUUAUAAACCAUAGAGAAAUUGGAAUACAUUAGGUUUAACACCAAUAUAAAUAAAGAAUGAGUUCAUUACAGUACCUUGAAGUGGAGUUUUGUUUUCUUUCGCUAACGGAGCUCACGAGAUUUUCUGUUAAGUUUUGUGUUGUGAAGUUUUCAAGUUUUGGGUAAAAGAUUUGAUGGAUCAUGGAACAAGGAGUGGCAAGAGCCUAAGCUUGGGGAUGCCCAUGGCACCCCAAGAUAAUCUAAGGACACCAAAAAGCCAAAGCUUGGGGAUGCCCCGGAAGGCAUCCCCUCUUUCGUCUACUUCCAUCGGUAACUUUACUUGGAGCUAUAUUUUUAUUCACCACAUGAUAUGUGUUUUGCUUGGAGCGUCUUGUAUGAUUUGAGUCUUUGCUUUUUAGGUUACCACAAUCAUCUUUGCUGUACACACCUUUUGAUGAGAGACACAAAUGAUUCGGAAUUUAUUAGAAUACUCUAUGCGCUUCACUUAUAUCUUUUGAGCUAUAUAGGUUUUGCUCUAGUGCUUCACUUAUAUCUUUUAGAGCACGGCGGUGGUUUUGUUUUAUAGAAACUAUUAUUCUCUCGUGCUUCACUUAUAUUAUUUUGAGAGUCUUAAACAACAUGGUAAUUUGCUUAAACUGGGAAAUUAAUCCUAAUAUCUUAGGUAUUCAAGACUAGUAAAAAACUUUCUUAUGAAUGUGCUGAAUGCUAAGAGAAGUUUGAUGCUUGAUGAUUGUUUUGAGAUAUGGAGGUAGUGAUAUUAAAGUUGUGCUAGUUGAGUAGUUGUGAAUUUGAGAAAUACUUGUGUUGAAGUUUGCAAGUCCCGUAGCAUGCACGUAUGGUAAACGUUAUGUAACAAAUUUGAAACAUGAGGUGUUCUUUGAUUGUCCUCCUUAUGAGUGGCGAUCGGGGACGAGCGAUGGUCUUUUCCUACCAAUCUAUCCCCCUAGGAGCAUGCGCGUAGUGCUUGGUUUUUGAUGACUUGUAGAUUUUUGCAAUAAGUAUGUGAGUUCUUUAUGACUAAUGUUGAGUCCACGGAUUAUACGCGCUCUUACCCUUCCAUCAUUGCUAGCCUCUUCGGUACCGUGCAUUGCCCUUUCUCACAUUGAGAGUUGGUGCAAACUUCGUCGGUGCAUCCAAACCCCGUGAUAUGAUACGCUCUUUCACACAUAAACCUCCUUAUAUCCUCCUCAAGACAGCCACCAUACCUACCUAUUAUGGCAUUUCCAUAGCCAUUCCGAGAUAUAUUGUCAUGCAACUUUCCACCGUUCCGUUUAUCAUGACACGUUCAUCAUUGUCAUAUUGCUUUGCAUGAUCAUGUGGUUGACAUCGUAUUUGUGGCAAAGCCACCGUUCAUAAUUUUUCAUACAUGUCACUCUUGAUUCAUUGCUAUCCCGGUAUACCGCCGGAGGCAUUCAUAUAGAGUCAUACUUCGUUCUAGUAUCGAGUUGUAAUCAUUGAGUUGUAAAUAAAUAGAAGUGUGAUGAUCAUCAUUCAUAGAGCAUUGUCCCAACUAAAAAAAGAGAAAGGCCAAAAAAAGAGAAGCCCCCCCCCCAAAAAAGGGGGACAAUGCUACUAUCCUUUUUCCACACUUGUGCUUCAAAGUAGCACCAUGAUCUUCAUGAUAGAGAGUCUCUUGUUUUGUCACUUUCAUAUACUAGUGGGAAUUUUUCAUUAUAGAACUUGGCUUGUAUAUUCCAACAAUGGGCUUCCUCAAAUGCCCUAGGUCUUCGUGAGCAAGCAAGUUGGAUGCACACCCACUUAGUUUCUUUUGUUGAGCUUUCAUGCAUUUAUAGCUCUAGUGCAUCCGUUGCAUGGCAAUCCCUACUCCUUGCAUUAACAUCAAUCGAUGGGCAUCUCCAUAGCUCAUUGAUUAGCAGCGUUGAUGUGAGACUUUCUCCUUUUUUGUCUUCUCCACAUAACCCCCAUCAUUAUAUUCUAUUCCACCCAUAGUGUUAUAUCCAUGGCUCACGCUCAUGUAUUGCGUGAAGGUUGAAAAAGUUUGAGAUUGCUAAAGUAUGAAACAAUUGCUUGGCUUGUCAUCGGGGUUGUGCAUGAUGAGAGCAUUCUUGUGUGACGAAAAUGGAGCAUGACUAAACUAUAUGAUUUUGUAGGGAUGAACUUUCUUUGGCCAUGUUAUUUUGAGAGGACAUAAUUGCUUAGUUAGUAUGCUUGAAGUAUUAUUACUUUUAUGUCAAUAUUAAACCUUUAUCUUGAAUCUUUCGGAUCUGAAUAUUCAUACCACAAUUAAGAGAAUUACAUUGAAAUUAUGCCAAGUAGCAUUCCACAUCAAAAAUUCUGUUUUUAUCAUUUACCUACUCGAGGACGAGCAGGAAUUAAGCUUGGGGAUGCUUGAUACGUCUCCAACGUAUCUAUAAUUUUUUAUUGUUCCAUGCUAUUUUUUAUUCUGUUUUGGACAUUAAUGGGCUUUAUUAUACACUUUUAUAUUAUUUUUGGAACUAACCUAUUAACCGGAGGCCCAGCCCAGAUUUGCUGUUUUUUGCCUAUUUCAGAGUUCGCAGAAAAAGAAUAUCAAACGGAGUCCAAACGGAAUGGAACCUUUGGAAACGUGAUUUUCGGAACGAAUGUGAUCCAGAGGACUUGGACCCUACGUCAAGACAUCAACCAGGAAGGCACGAGGUAGGGGGCGCGCCUACCCCCCUGGGCGCGCCCUCCACCCUCGUGGGCCCCAUGUUGCUCCACCGACGUACUUCUUCCUCCUAUAUAUACCUACGUACUCCCAAACUACCAGAUACGGAGCCAAAAACCUAAUUCCACCGCCGCAACCUUCUGUACCCGUGAGAUCCCAUCUUGUGGCCUUUUCCGGAGCUCCGCCAGAGGGGGCAUCGAUCACGGAGGGCUUCUACAUCAACACCAUAGCCUCUCCGAUGAUGUGUGAGUAGUUUACCUCAGACCUUCGGGUCCAUAGUUAUUAGCUAGAUGGCUUCUUCUCUCUCUUUGGAUCUCAAUACAAAGUUCUCCACGAUUCUCGUGGAGAUCUAUUCGAUGUAAUCUUCUUUUGCGGUGUGUUUGUUGAGACCGAUGAAUUGUGGGUUUAUGAUCAAGUUUAUCUAUGAACAAUAUUUCAAUCUUCUCUGAAUUCUUUUAUGUAUGAUUGGUUAUCUUUGCAAGUCUCUUCGAAUUAUCAGUUUGGUUUGGCCUACUAGAUUGAUCUUUCUUGCAAUGGGAGAAGUGCUUAGCUUUGGGUUCAAUCUUGCGGUGUCCUUUCCCAGUGACAGUAGGGACAGCAAGGCACGUAUUGUAUUGUUACCAUCGAGGAUAACAAGAUGGGGUUUAUAUCAUAUUGCAUGAUUUUAUCCCUCUACAUCAUGUCAUCUUACUUAAAGUGUUACUCUGUUCUUAUGAACUUAAUACUCUAGAUGCAUGCUAGAUAGCGGUCGAUGUGUGGAGUAAUAGUAGUAGAUGCAGGCAGGAGUCGGUCUACUUGUCUUGACGUGAUGCCUAUAUACAUGAUCAUACCUAGAUAUUCUCAUAACUAUGCUCAAUUCUGUCAAUUGCUCAACAGUAAUUCGUUCACCCACCGUACUACUUAUGCUCUCGAGAGAAGCCACUAGUGAAACCUAUGGCCCCCGGGUCUAUCUUCUAUCAUAUUAAUCUACCAACACUUAGCUAUUUUUAUUGCCUUUUAUUUCACUUUGCAUCUUUAUCAUAAAAAUACCAAAAAUAUUAUCUUAUCAUAUCUAUCAGAUCUCACUCUCGUAAAUGACCGUGAAGGGAUUGACAACCCCUUUAUUGCGUUGGUUGCGAGGAUUUAUUUGUUUGUGUAGGUGCGAGGGACUCGUGCGUGGCCUCCUACUGGAUUGAUACCUUGGUUCUAAAAAACGGAGGGAAAUACUUACGCUGCUUUACUGCAUCACCCUUUCCUCUUCAAGGGAAAACCAACGCAGUGCUCAAGAGGUGGCAAGCGACUGUUGGCCGGAAGCCGUGGUGGCAGGCGGCGGCCACUGCGGCCACAGGGGGGUGCGGCUGGGGGCGGCUUGUAACGCCCGGAUAGUUAUGCUACAGUAAUCCCAUGCUAAUGUUGCCACGUCACUGCAUUUACUGUUGUUAACCUCGUGAUGAUUCAAUCCCGUUCGUUUUCAAAAUUCAAAUUUAAAUCAAACAGCAAAAAUGAGUAAAAGAAAAGGAGAAAGCAAACAAAAAAACAAAAGAAGACCCCCGGCCCAACUGGGCCAAUCAGCCCAGCCGGCCGGCCCACACCCGCUACCCCUGGCCUAUUAGGCCACUCCCACCCGAACCCUAACGACCAGACCCCCCACUUCCCCCACGCACCCACGCUCCUCUCCUUCCCCCGAUUCGGGAUCUGGAUCGGGCCACGCCCCGACCCCGCCGCUCGCCCCGACGCUAUCGCCCGUCUCCCCGUCGCCUCCCGCACGACGCCUGCCCCCUCGACCCGAGCUGGAUCGGGGGACUCGACCCCGCUGCGCCCCGGCGCUCUCCCGUCGCCCGACAACUGCCACCGCGCGGAGCCCCACUCGCCGGACCUGAAGGAAAUAUACCCUAGAGGCAAUAAUAAAGUUAUUAUUUAUUUCCUUAUAUCAUAAUAAAUGUUUAUUAUUCAUGCUAGAAUUGUAUUAACCGGAAACAUAAUACUUGUGUGAAUACAUAGACAAACAGAGUGUCACUAGUAUGCCUCUACUUGACUAGCUCGUUGAUCAAAGAUGGUUAUGUUUCCUAGCCAUAGACAUGAGUUGUCAUUUGAUUAACGGGAUCACAUCAUUAGGAGAAUGAUGUGAUUGACUUGACCCAUUCCGUUAGCUUAGCACUCGAUCAUUUAGUAUGUUGCUAUUGCUUUCUUCAUAACUUAUACAUGUUCCUAUGACUAUGAGAUUAUGCAACUCCCGUUUACCGGAGGAACACUUUGUGUGCUACCAAACGUCACAACGUAACUGGGUGAUUAUAAAGGUGCUCUACAGGUGUCUCCAAAGGUACUUGUUGGGUUGGCGUAUUUCGAGAUUAGGAUUUGUCACUCCGAUUGUCGGAGAGGUAUCUCUGGGCCCACUCAGUAAUACAUAUCACUAUAAGCCUUGCAAGCAUUGUAACUAAUGAGUUAGUCGCGGGAUGAUGUAUUACGGAACGAGUAAAGAGACUUGCCGGUAACGAGAUUGAACUAGGUAUCGAGAUACCGACGAUCGAAUCUCGGGCAAGUAACAUACCGAUGACAAAGGGAACAACGUAUGUUGUUAUGCGGUCUGACCGACAAAGAUCUUCGUAGAAUAUGUGGGAGCCAAUAUGAGCAUCCAGGUUCCGCUAUUGGUUAUUGACCGGAGAGGUGUCUCGGUCAUGUCUACAUAGUUCUCGAACCCGUAGGGUCCGCACGCUUAACGUUACGAUGACAGUUAUAUUAUGAGUUUAUAUGUUUUGAUGUACCGAAGGUUGUUCGGAGUCCCGAAUGUGAUCACGGACAUGACGAGGAGUCUCGAAAUGGUCGAGACAUAAAGAUUGAUACAUUGGAAGCCUAUGUUUGGAUAUCGGAAGUGUUCCGGGUGAAAUCGGGAUUUUUCCGGAGUACCGGGAGGUUACCGGAACCCCCCGGUAACUUAAUGGGCCUUAGUGGGCCUAGGUGGAAGAGAGGAGAGGAGGCUAGGGCAGGGCCGCACGCCCCUCCCCCCCAGUCCGAAUAGGACAAGGAGAGGGGGGCGGCGCCCCCCUUUCCUUCCUCCCCUCCACCUCUUCCCCCUCUCUCUCCUAGUCCAACAUGGAAAAGGGGGAAGUCCUACUCCCGGUAGGAGUAGAAAUCGUCCUGGUGCGCCUCUCCCCUUGGCCGGCCGAAACCCCCCCUUGCUCCUUUAUAUACGGGGGCAGGGGGCACCUCUAGACACACAAUUGAUCAUUGAUCUCUUAGCCGUGUGCGGUGCCCCCCUCCACUAUAUUACACCUCGAUAAUAUCGUAGCGGUGCUUAGGCGAAGCCUUGCGUCGGUAGAACAUCAUCAUCGUCACCACACCAUCGUGUUGACGAAACUCUCCCUCAACACUCGGCUGGAUCGGAGUUCGAGGGACGUCAUCGAGCUGAACGUGUGCUGAACUCGGAGGUGCCGUACGUUCGGUACUUGAACGAUCGGAUCGUGAAGACGUACGACUACAUCAACCGCGUUGUGUUAACGCUUCCGCUUUCGGUCUACGAGGGUACGUGGACAACACUCUCCCCUCUCGUUCUAUGCAUCACCAUGAUCUUGCGUGUGCGUAGAAUUUUUUUGAAAUUACUACGUUCCCCAACAGUGGCAUCCGAGCCUGGUUUUAUGCGUUGAUGUUAUAUGCACGAGUAGAACACAAUUGAGUUGUGGGCGAUAUAAGUCAUACUGCUUACCAGCAUGUCAUAUUUUGGUUCACCGGUAUUGUGAGAUGAAGCGGCCCGGACCGACAUUACGCGUACGCUUACGCGAGACCGGUUUCACCAUUGCGAGCACUCGUUGCUUAAAGGUGACUGGCGGGUGUCUGUCUCUCUCACUUUAGUUGAACCGAGUGUGGCUACGCCCGGUCCUUGCGAAGGUUAAAACAGCACCAACUUGACAAACUAUCGUUGUGGUUUUGAUGCGUAGGUAAGAACGGUUCUUGCUAAGCCCGUAGCAGCCACGUAAAACUUGCAACAACAAAGUAGAGGACGUCUAACUUGUUUUUGCAGGGCAUGUUGUCAUGUGAUAUGGUCAAGACAUGAUGCUAUAUUUUAUUGUAUGAGAUGAUCAUGUUUUGUAACCGAGUUAUCGGCAACUGGCAGGAGCCAUAUGGUUGUCGCUUUAUUGUAUGCAAUGCAAUCGCCAUGUAAUUGUUUUACUUUAUCACUAAGCGGUAGCGAUAGUCGUAAAAGCAAUAGUUGGCGAGACGACAACGAUGCUACGAUGGAGAUCAAGGUGUCGCGCCGGUGACGAUGGUGAUCAUGACGGUGCUUCGGAGAUGGAAAUCACAAGCACAAGAUGAUGAUGGCCAUAUCAUAUCACUUAUAUUGAUUGCAUGUGAUGUUUAUCUUUUAUGCAUCUUAUCUUGCUUUGAUUGACGGUAGCAUUAUAAGAUGAUCUCUCACUAAAAUUUCAAGAUAAAACUGUUCUCCCUGAGUAUGCACCGUUGCCAAAGUUCGUCGUGCCCAGACACCACGUGAUGAUCGGGUGUGAUAAGCUCUACGUCCAUCUACAAUGGGUGCAAGCCAGUUUUGCACACGCAGAAUACUCAGGUUAAACUUGACGAGCCUAGCAUAUGCAGAUAUGGCCUCGGAACAUUGAGACCGAAAGGUCGAGCGUGAAUCAUAUAGUAGAUAUGAUCAACAUAGUGAUGUUCACCAUUGAAAACUACUCCAUUUCACGUGAUGAUCGGUUAUGGUUUAGUUGAUUUGGAUCACGUGAUCACUUAGAUGAUUAGAGGGAUGUCUGUCUAAGUGGGAUUUCUUAAGUAAUAUGAUUAAUAGAACUUAAAUUUAUCAUGAACUUAGUACCUGAUAGUAUCUUGCUUGUCUAUGUUAAUUGUAGAUAGAUGGCCUGUGCUGUUGUUCCGUUGAAUUUUAAUGCGUUCCUUGAGAAAGCAAAGUUGAAAGAUGAUGGUAGCAAUUACACGAACUGGGUCCGUAACUUGAGGAUUAUCCUCAUUGCUGCACAGAAGAAUUAUGUCCUGGAAGCACCGCUGGGUGCCAGGCCUGCUGCAAGAGCAACACCAGAAGUUGUGAACGUCUGGCAGAGCAAAGCUGAUGACUACUCGAUAGUUCAGUGUGCCAUGCUUUAUGGCUUAGAACCGGGUCUUCAACGACGUUUUGAACGUCAUGGAGCAUAUGAGAUGUUCCAGGAGUUGAAGUUAAUAUUUCAAGCAAAUGCCCGGAUUGAGAGAUAUGAAGUCUCCAAUAAGUUCUACAGCUGCAAGAUGGAAGAGAAUAGUUCUGUCAGUGAGCAUAUACUCAAAAUGUCUGGGUAUAACAAUCACUUGAUUCAACUGGGAGUUAAUCUUCCGGAUGAUAGCGUCAUUGAUAGAAUUCUUCAAUCACUACCACCAAGUUACAAGAGCUUCAUGAUGAACUAUAACAUGCAAGGGAUGAAUAAGACAAUUCCCGAGCUCUUCGCAAUGCUAAAGGCAGCGGAGGUAGAAAUCAAAAAGGAGCAUCAAGUGUUGAUGGUCAAUAAGACCACUAGUUUCAAGAAAAAGGGCAAAGGAAAGAAGAAGGGGAACUUCAAGAAGAACAGCAAGCAAGUUGUUGUUCAGGAGAAGAAACCCAAAUCUGGACCUAAGCCUGAGACUGAGUGCUUCUACUGCAAGCAUACUGGUCACUGGAAGCGGAACUGCCCCAAGUAUUUGGCGGAUAAGAAGGAUGGCAAGGUGAACAAAGGUAUAUGUGAUAUACAUGUUAUUGAUGUGUACCUUACCAGAGCUCGCAGUAGCACCUGGGUAUUUGAUACUGGUUCUGUUGCCAAUAUUUGCAACUCGAAACAGGGACUACGGAUUAAGCGAACACUGGCCAAGGACGAGGUAACGAUGCGCGUGGGAAACGGUUCCAAAGUCGAUGUGAUCGCCGUCAGCACGCUACCUCUACAUCUACCUUCGGGAUUAGUAUUAGACCUGAAUAAUUGUUAUUUGGUGCCAGCGUUGAGCAUGAACAUUAUAUCUGGAUCUUGUUUAAUGCGAGACGGUUAUUCAUUUAAAUCAGAGAAUAAUGGUUGUUCUAUUUAUAUGAGUAAUAUCUUUUAUGGUCAUGCACCCUUGAAGAGUGGUCUAUUUUUAAUGAAUCUCGAUAGUAGUGACACACAUAUUCAUAAUGUCGAAGCCCAAAGAUGCAGAGUUGAUAAUGAUAGUGCAACUUAUUUGUGGCACUGUCGUUUAGGUCAUAUCGGUGUAAAGCGCAUGAAGAAACUCCAUAAUGAUGGACUUUUGGAAUCACUUGAUUAUGAAUCACUUGGUACUAGCGAACCGUGUCUCAUGGGCAAGAUGACUAAAACACCGUUCUCCGGAACUAUGGAGAGAGCAACUAAUUUGUUGGAAAUCAUACAUACAGAUGUAUGUGGUCCGAUGAAUAUUGAGGCUCGUGGCGGAUAUCGUUAUUUUCUCACCUUCACAGAUGAUUUGAGCAGAUAUGGGUAUAUCUACUUAAUGAAACAUAAGUCUGAAACAUUUGAAAAGUUCAAAGAAUUUCAGAGCGAAGUUGAAAAUCAUCGUAACAAGAAAAUAAAGUUUCUACGAUUAGAUCGUGGAGGAGAAUAUUUGAGUUACGAGUUUGGUCUACAUUUGAAACAAAGCGGAAUAGUUUCGCAACUCACGCCACCCGGAACACCACAACGUAAUGGUGUGUCCGAACGUCGUAAUCGUACUUUACUAGAUAUGGUGCGAUCUAUGAUGUCUCUUACUGAUUUACCGCUAUCGUUUUGGGGUUAUGCUUUAGAGACGGCUGCAUUCACUCUAAAUAGGGCACCAUCGAAAUCCGUUGAGACGACGCCAUAUGAACUAUGGUUUGGCAAGAAACCAAAGUUGUCGUUUCUUAAAGUUUGGGGUUGCGAUGCUUAUGUGAUGAAACUUCAACCUGAUAAGCUCGAACCUAAAUCGGAGAAAUGUGUCUUCAUAGGAUACCCAAAGGAAACUGUUGGGUACACCUUCUAUCACAGAUCCGAAGGCAAGACAUUCAUUGCUAAGAAUGGAUCCUUUCUAGAGAAGGAGUUUCUCUCGAAAGAAGUGAGUGGGAGGAAAGUAGAACUUGAUGAGGUAACUGUACCUGCUCCCUUAUUGGAAAGUAGAUCAUCACAGAAACCAGUUUCUGUGACACCUACACCAAUUAGUGAGGAAGUUAAUGAUAAUGAUCAUAAAACUUCAGAUCAAGUUAUUACUGAACCUCGUAGGUCAACCAGAUUAAGAUCCGCACCAGAGUGGUACGGUAAUCCUGUUCUGGAGGUUAUGUUACUAGACCAUGACGAACCUACGAACUAUGAAGAAGCGAUGGUGAGCCCAGAUUCCGCAAAAUGGCUUGAGGCCAUGAAAUCCGAGAUGGGAUCCAUGUAUGAGAACAAAGUAUGGACUUUGGUUGACUUGCCCGAUGAUCGGCAAGCCAUUGAAAAUAAAUGGAUCUUCAAGAAGAAGACUGACGCUGACGGUAAUGUUACUGUUUAUAAAGCUCGACUUGUUGCGAAAGGUUUUCGACAAGUUCAAGGGAUUGACUAUGAUGAGACCUUCUCACCCGUAGCGAUGCUUAAGUCUGUCCGAAUCAUGUUAGCAAUUGCCGCAUUUUAUGAUUAUGAAAUUUGGCAAAUGGAUGUCAAAACUGCAUUCCUGAAUGGAUUUCUGGAAGAAGAGUUGUAUAUGAUGCAACCGGAAGGUUUUGUCGAUCCAAAGGGAGCUAACAAAGUGUGCAAGCUCCAACGAUCCAUUUAUGGACUGGUGCAAGCCUCUCGGAGUUGGAAUAAACGCUUUGAUAGUGUGAUCAAAGCAUUUAUUCCAAGUGGGUGAAAUAAGUCUCUUCGCUUGAAUUUUAGAACUUAGAAUUUAUUACCCUAGAAAAAAAAAAGAAAAACCUAAUCCUUUGAAUCUUUGGUAUCCUUCAAAUCUUCGCUAUACUUCGAGUCUUCGAUACGCUUCGAAUCCUUAUGGGGAAGUCUAUAAAUUAUACGUCCCUUGCUUGAAUCAUAAUGACUUACUUCAAUUUUGACCCUAUCCCCCAUCAGUAUUCGUAUAGAACUAGACCGUAUCUUUCCUGAAAUAUAGCCUAGGAUGAUGGUGUCAUUCUCUAGCCGAACGCGGAACAUUCCAUUGGGUAGGGAUUCCAUAACUAAACCUUCGAAAGUUACUUUUGCUUCUCUCGGGUUUUUUUUCUCUCCUAUUUUUUUCUGUCAUAUUUUUUUCUCCUAUUUUUCUAUUUUUAUUUUAAAAAUAGGAAGGGCGAGAUAGAAUUCGAGCACUAUAGGCGGGGCGAUUACCAUAUAUAACAUAAGACUUCUCCCCCAAUUCUGUUUAGUCGAGCUUCUCGAUCUGUCAUUAUUCCUCGAGAAGUAGAAAGAAUAGCAAUUCCCAUUCCACCCAAAACUUUAGGAAUUCCUUGAUAGUUGGUAUAAAUUCGUAAGCCGGGUCGGCUGAUACGCUUUAAAAAAGGUUCUUGUUCUAUAUAUUCCUUUUCUAGUCUUUCUCUUUUGAUGUCGCAAAGUUGAAACCAAGAAAUAUCUGUUACGUUCCUGAUGUUUCCGAACACUUUCAAUAAAACCCUCUCGUAGAAGUAUUUUAACAAUGUUUUCGGUAAUAUUUGUAGAUACUACUCGAACUGUUCAUUUUUUAUUCAUGUCCGCAUUUCUUAUAGAGGUUAGUAAAUCAGCAAUAGUGUCCUUGCCCAUAAGACUCUAAUUCUAGGUUCCUCCUAAUUUUUCUAUAAUCAACAUGUUUUUUCAUUUUGGAUUUUAAAACAUAUACGUAAAACACAAUCUACUAAAUUAAUUCUUUGGUCUCAAUUUCGCCU